This 390-nucleotide ribosomal RNA is filed under the name Triticum aestivum (bread wheat). Its description in RNAcentral is "partial small subunit ribosomal RNA". The record is from RNAcentral. Lineage: Eukaryota; Viridiplantae; Streptophyta; Magnoliopsida; Poales; Poaceae.
AUGCCAUGGUUACCAGGAAGGAGGUUACAAAGAACAUAUGAGAACAAACUUCGUUCUGCCUUUGGACAUCAAGCGAUCAUAUCUGUACUUCACAACAUCAGUAACUCACGAGCUGGCAUGCCAUCCCAUCCCGUCUUCCUAGACACCCAGAGAAUACAGACACAACAAUCCGGCAAAGGAUGGACAGGCAGCAGAAGGAGUUCAGGCAUAGGCCACGCAACCAGGGGACAUGAAAGCCUAAUUGAGAAAAUCUUUCAUAGGAUCGUCGUGGCGGACUCUUGUCAUACGGUAGGCCUCCAUGUCUUCCGCAGUGACCUCGUCAUUCCACUUCACAUUGUACUUUCUCUUUCUUUCGUCCAUCUCUUCCUUCUUCCUCUUUGCCUCCUAUAG